This 253-nucleotide ribosomal RNA is filed under the name uncultured bacterium. Its description in RNAcentral is "partial 16S ribosomal RNA". It matches the Rfam family "Bacterial small subunit ribosomal RNA", at positions 524 to 776 of the family's 1533-position model. The record is from RNAcentral.
UACGUAGGGAGCAAGCGUUGUCCGGAAUCAUUGGGCGUAAAGCGCGCGUAGGUGGCCAUGUAAGUCCGCUGUGAAAGUCAAAGGCUCAACCUUUGAAAGCCGAUGGAUACUGCGGAGCUAGAGUACGGAAGAGGCGAGUGGAAUUCCUGGUGUAGCGGUGGAAUGCGCAGAUAUCAGGAGGAACACCAAUAGCGAAGGCAGCUCGCUGGGACGUUACUGACACUGAGGCGCGAAAGCGUGGGGAGCGAACAGG